This 392-nucleotide ribosomal RNA is filed under the name uncultured bacterium. RNAcentral's name for it is "partial 16S ribosomal RNA". It matches the Rfam family "Bacterial small subunit ribosomal RNA", at positions 523 to 918 of the family's 1533-position model. The record is from RNAcentral.
AUACGGAGGAUCCGAGCGUUAUCCGGAUUUAUUGGGUUUAAAGGGUGCGCAGGCGGCCAUUUAAGUCAGCGGUUAAAUCGUGGGGCUCAACCCCAUUCUGCCGUUGAUACUGGGUGGCUUGAUUGCGGUCGAGGUUGGCGGAAUUCGUUGUGUAGCGGUGAAAUGCAUAGAUAUGACGAAGAACACCGAUCGCGUAGGCAGCUGACCAGACCGCAAAUGACGCUCAUGCACGAAAGUGCGGGGAUCGAACAGGAUUAGAUACCCUGGUAGUCCGCACAGUAAACGAUGAAUACUUGUUUUCGGCGAUAUAAUGUCGGAGGCAAAGCGAAAGCGAUAAGUAUUCCACCUGGGGAGUACGCCGGCAACGGUGAAACUUAAAGGAAUUGACGGGG